AUUGAACGCUGGCGGCAUGCUUUACACAUGCAAGUCGAACGGUAACAGGUUAAGCUGACGAGUGGCGAACGGGUGAGUAAUGCAUCGGAACGUGCCCGAUCGUGGGGGAUAACGCAGCGAAAGCUGCGCUAAUACCGCAUACGAUCUGAGGAUGAAAGCGGGGGACCGUAAGGCCUCGCGCGAUCGGAGCGGCCGAUGUCAGAUGAGGUAGUUGGUGGGGUAAAGGCUCACCAAGCGAACGAUCUGUAGCUGGUCUGAGAGGACGCCGAGCCCCACUGGAACUGAGACACGGCCCAGACUCCUACGGGAGGCUGCAGUGGGGAAUGUUGGACAAUGGGCGAAAGCCUGAUCCAGCAAUGCCGCGUGCAGGAAGAAGGCCUUCGGGUUGUAAACUGCUUUUGUACGGAGCGAAAAGGCUCUCUCUAAUACAGGGGGCUCAUGACGGUACCGUAAGAAUAAGCACCGGCUAACUACGUGCCAGCCGCCGCGGUAA
Molecule: ribosomal RNA, 493 nt
Filed under: uncultured bacterium
Lineage: Bacteria
Description: partial 16S ribosomal RNA
Rfam family: Bacterial small subunit ribosomal RNA
Source: RNAcentral